UGUGAUUCCACCGUCUGGUUCGUUCAAUAAACGCUCAAGGGACUGUAUUUUAUGAUUUUAUUGAUUGUAUUAUGUAAGAGAAAGUAUUUACAACACGAGUUUUAGACCGUUAAACGUUCCGAUUGUCUCGCUACGAUCUGACAGCAACAAUGACGUUCAAUCACUCCCUAUAUAGCUAUUUGAUUACCCUACCAAAUUACAAUGUGUCACAGUGACGUAUCACUUUAAACAUACAAAAACUUAUUUACGAUUUAGUUUGAAUUACGUCAAUCACAAUAUUGAUAUAUUACAUGAAGUAUUUUUACAGUUGAAUGAACUGGCGGCGCUGCGCUGGGAAUUAACCUACUAGUGAUGGGCGAUACCAGGAUUUUUAAUUCGAUACCGAUACCGAUACUUUUAAGAUCGGUAUCGGCCGAUACCGAUACCUAUUUCGAUACCAAAAUGAACACAAAAU
Non-coding RNA from Paramuricea clavata, 454 nucleotides. Lineage: Eukaryota; Metazoa; Cnidaria; Anthozoa; Malacalcyonacea; Plexauridae. The record is from the annotation of a GenBank genome assembly.